Molecule: ribosomal RNA, 208 nt
Filed under: uncultured bacterium
Lineage: Bacteria
Description: partial 16S ribosomal RNA
Rfam family: Bacterial small subunit ribosomal RNA
Source: RNAcentral
UUCUGUAGGCGGUUUUGUAAGUUGUGGGUUAAAUGCUUCGGCUCAACCGAAGACCUGCUCGCAAUACUGCGAAACUAGAGAUAGAUAGGGGAGGGCGGAACGCAUGGUGUAGUGGUGGAAUACGUUGAUAUCAUGCGGAACACCGAAGGCGUAGGCAGCCCUCUGGGUCUUAUCUGACGCUGAGAGACGAAAGCGUGGGGAGUAAAAC